UCAUUGCUAAACAACUUUAAUGGGUUGGUGGCAGAUAAUUGCCAAACUUAUUGAAGACCAACGAGACAAGAGAUUUCAAACAAAGGGAGACUUCCCCAUUUUAAAGCAUAACAGUCUCUGUGAGCACAGAUAGCUGCAUAGAUGCCACAAACCACCAAAACAAAAAUCUGAUGGGAAUGUCAAUUCUGUCAAGUUUUGAAAGCUCAUCCUCUGCAAUUUCCUGGAGAUGGAAAACUGCUACUUGUGCAGAUCUUCGACGGAUGCGGCCACUUGGAGUUUUCUCAAACAAAUUCUCAAAGUCUUCUUCAGGUGCCCGAAGUGGUAACUUUGCAGUGGCAGAGGAAUGUGAAAUGCAAGAAGAAAAGACUGAUGGUCAUGAAAACACACCGUCACUUGUUCUCACAAUCGUAGCUAUUAAUUCAGACAGUGAUGCCGCAGAAAAUUUAGAGAUUGGUCCAGAGGCAAGAUUGUAUCUGGUACCCGUUAAUGAACAGUUCGAUUUAUCUUCAAAGCUAGAACUAUACAAUUAAUCAAAACAUUCAGAAUGGGCAAAGACAAAGAAGCUAUACCUGAGACCUAAAACAGAAUCAUCACACAUCUGCUGUAGCUCACCUACAACUGCUCUGAUGACUGAUAUUGAUGGGCCAAAGUGCCUUUUCCUGUGCUGCAGACCUGUAUGACAGCUACAUCCAACUACACCUAGGUCUUGCUGAUGAUCUGCUGCUGAUGUCCUUGAUCCACGGGAUUAGCUCACUCGCUGCUGGCCUAUCAAGUGUCUGAGUGGCUCAAGACAUAGUGGAUCAUCCCAAAGAGAGGCAAUGUGGGGUUAUGGCAGCCCAUAUUCCACCUGAAGUAACGCUUUUAUCAUUGUCAUGAUAAUUAUCAUUAAUAAUAUAGUUUCAUGUAUCUGUAUUAAUAUCUACAAAAAAGUUAGCAUGACAAUUUCAAAUAGCAAAAUAUUAUACGUAUAAGUUUACAAGUGUAGCUCAAACUACCUACUGGGAUUUCCUGAAGUGCAUGGUCCUCUGAUUUGUGUCUUCCUUUUUGUCUGUUUUCUACUUUAUCACUUUCAGCACGUCCUAGACAAUCGAAAAACAAUGUUCAUACAGUUAUUUUCAUUAACCUCAAACAUUGCACAACAAAUAUUUAUUGGCAUCCCAGGAGACAUUUGCUGACAGACUCAGUCUGCUGAUUCAGUGAAUGAGUCACUGACCCUUUCAGAUUGUUGGACCAUAAGACUGUUAUUCACUUCUUGGCUUAAAUAAAUGGAAGUAUGACAAGAUGGUUUUUAAUGUCCUAAAAUAUGCAUUAAUUAGAUAGUACAAAGAUAGCAGUUUGUUUGAUCAUUAAAGAACUGCAUACCACAUUGACAGAGUAAGUAAGCAUUUAAAAAUGUUUGUAUAAUUGUUGUUUAUGACCAGGAUCUGAAAUUUCCCAUAACACCAAAUAAUCAUUCAAUUGAUUAAUGCACUUCCCACACACAUGCACGUGUUCCCAGCUUUGAUCCUGGCCCAUGUUGUGUUCACUGAUCUCAGUCAAGAUGGGCAGUUGUAUGAAUGGUACAAGUGACACUGCUGCAGCAUUUUGUGAGUAAAGAGAAAAUAACCUCAGCUAUGUAUGAGUGUUGUCCAGUGACACAUUUGGUAAAAUGCAUAAGUAUUUAUACUGGAUGGAACCAAGGUCGGCCUUUGUGAUGUAACUGCCCGUUACCACUAAGCCCCUUGAAUGUUCGGGGAUGAACACAGGUUUUUUUUUAGACCAACAAAAUAUUCUAUAUGAGGAAAUGAUUUUAACUGUCAAAACAUUUAUAUUUGGGAUGAACCAGUUGCAAGUGAAAAUGAUUGGCAACUCAACUGAAAUUUUUGAGAUAUACUGGUAGUAAACAUGGAUACCAGCGCGAGAGAUAUGUCACAAAGCUAGUCCAUUUUGUUUCUAAACGCUGUUCCUUGGCUCAAGGAUACGCUGUCCUUGAUG
Non-coding RNA from Chiloscyllium plagiosum (whitespotted bambooshark), 1974 nucleotides. The record is from RefSeq and is a predicted model, not a curated record. Lineage: Eukaryota; Metazoa; Chordata; Chondrichthyes; Orectolobiformes; Hemiscylliidae.